This 1010-nucleotide ribosomal RNA is filed under the name Salmonella enterica subsp. enterica serovar Enteritidis. RNAcentral describes it as "partial 23S ribosomal RNA". It matches the Rfam family "Bacterial large subunit ribosomal RNA", at positions 140 to 1191 of the family's 2925-position model. The record is from RNAcentral. Lineage: Bacteria; Pseudomonadati; Pseudomonadota; Gammaproteobacteria; Enterobacterales; Enterobacteriaceae.
UCGUCACACUAUCAUUAACUGAAUCCAUAGGUUAAUGAGGCGAACCGGGGGAACUGAAACAUCUAAGUACCCCGAGGAAAAGAAAUCAACCGAGAUUCCCCCAGUAGCGGCGAGCGAACGGGGAGGAGCCCAGAGCCUGAAUCAGCAUGUGUGUUAGUGGAAGCGUCUGGAAAGGCGCGCGAUACAGGGUGACAGCCCCGUACACAAAAGCGCAUGUGCUGUGAGCUCGAUGAGUAGGGCGGGACACGUGGUAUCCUGUCUGAAUAUGGGGGGACCAUCCUCCAAGGCUAAAUACUCCUGACUGACCGAUAGUGAACCAGUACCGUGAGGGAAAGGCGAAAAGAACCCCGGCGAGGGGAGUGAAAAAGAACCUGAAACCGUGUACGUACAAGCAGUGGGAGCACCCUUUGGGUGUGACUGCGUACCUUUUGUAUAAUGGGUCAGCGACUUAUAUUCUGUAGCAAGGUUAACCGAAUAGGGGAGCCGGAGGGAAACCGAGUCUUAAUUGGGCGUUAAGUUGCAGGGUAUAGACCCGAAACCCGGUGAUCUAGCCAUGGGCAGGUUGAAGGUUGGGUAACACUAACUGGAGGACCGAACCGACUAAUGUUGAAAAAUUAGCGGAUGACCUGUGGCUGGGGGUGAAAGGCCAAUCAAACCGGGAGAUAGCUGGUUCUCCCCGAAAGCUAUUUAGGUAGCGCCUCGUGAAUUCAUCUCCGGGGGUAGAGCACUGUUUCGGCUAGGGGGCCAUCCCGGCUUACCAACCCGAUGCAAACUGCGAAUACCGGAGAAUGUUAUCACGGGAGACACACGGCGGGUGCUAACGUCCGUCGUGAAGAGGGAAACAACCCAGACCGCCAGCUAAGGUCCCAAAGUCAUGGUUAAGUGGGAAACGAUGUGGGAAGGCCCAGACAGCCAGGAUGUUGGCUUAGAAGCAGCCAUCAUUUAAAGAAAGCGUAAUAGCUCACUGGUCGAGUCGGCCUGCGCGGAAGAUGUAACGGGGCUAAACCAUG